CCUACGAGAGGCAGCAGUAGGGAAUUUUCGGCAAUGGGGGGAACCCUGCACGAGCAACGCCGCGUGAACGAAGAAGUUAUUCGUAAUGUAAAGUUCUUUUAACAGGGAAGAAAGAGAAAUUUGACGGUACCUGAAGAAUAAUCUCCGGCUAACUACGUGCCAGCAGCCGCGUUAAGCCGUAGGGAGCGAUCGUUAUCCGGAUGUAUUGGUCGUAAAGGAGGAGUAGAUGGCAUAGUAAGUCUUUUAUAAAAAUGGUGGGCUCAACCCAGUAGGGCAAAAGAUACUGCAAAGCUAGAGUAUGACAGAGGCAAGUGGAACGACAUGUGGAGCGGUAAAAUGCGUAAAUAUAUGUAAGAACACCAGUGGCGAAGGCGGCUUGCUGGGUCGAUACUGACAUUGAGGCACGAAAGCGUGGGGAGCAAACAGGAGUAGAUACCCGAGUAGUC
Molecule: ribosomal RNA, 446 nt
Filed under: uncultured bacterium
Lineage: Bacteria
Description: partial 16S ribosomal RNA
Rfam family: Bacterial small subunit ribosomal RNA
Source: RNAcentral